GAUUAGGGGUUGGAGUAAUUGGAUUAUGAUUACGAAUCAUAAGGGGCUUAUAUG
This 54-nucleotide transfer RNA is filed under the name Southwellina hispida. RNAcentral describes it as "tRNA-Arg". The record is from RNAcentral. Lineage: Eukaryota; Metazoa; Acanthocephala; Palaeacanthocephala; Polymorphida; Polymorphidae.